UACGGAGGGUGCAAGCGUUAAUCGGAAUUACUGGGCGUAAAGCGCGCGUAGGCGGUUUUUUAAGUCGGAUGUGAAAGCCCCGGGCUCAACCUGGGAACUGCAUCCGAUACUGGAAGACUAGAAUGCGGGAGAGGGAGGUAGAAUUCCAUGUGUAGCAGUGAAGUGCGUAGAUAUAUGGAGGAAUACCAGUGGCGAAGGCGGCCUCCUGGCUCGACAUUGACGCUGAGGUGCGAAAGCGUGGGGAGCAAACGGG
RNAcentral lists this ribosomal RNA (253 nucleotides) under uncultured bacterium. RNAcentral describes it as "partial 16S ribosomal RNA". It matches the Rfam family "Bacterial small subunit ribosomal RNA", at positions 524 to 776 of the family's 1533-position model. The record is from RNAcentral.